CGAGAAGCCGGUAAACGGCUCGGCAACACGGACUGGAGCGAGAGUUUCAGAGCGCUACAGGAGGAAAAGAAACCAGGCAGGAAGCAUCUGCACCUGUUUUGGCAAAGUUGGUGAGGUGGCGUGUGAUGAGAUCCUGGAAGCUCUUGUCUUUGUCAGAGAGCGGCUUGCCCAGGAAGAACUCCAGUCCUCCGAAGAAAGCCACGGCGUCCAGACUGUGAAAGGCGAAGCGGCUUGGGAACGGCAGCAGAUCGCCGGUCGUGUUGACCGGUCCCGAUGGCGUGUGCGUCCCCACAUAUCGAUACACAGGACUGUUGAGGGCCGCUGCAGACAGGGGAGGUUUCAACGAAUCAGUAACUCUGGAAUCUUUCUUAAUUUGACCAUAAUUAUGAAAUAAACUAGUGUGUGUGUUCAGGGUGAUGAAGGAACAUGUGACCCAGUGCAGCUGCGAGGCUCACUGAUGGGUUUUAAUAGUUUCUGGAUAAACAAAGGAGCUCUAAGGCUCAGAGGAAGAAGCGACACAAGGUCUUGUUAGUAGAUACAGUCACUGCUGGUUCGAGUCAUUUAUGAGCUGUUCUAAGAAAAACAUAGAUCACUUGUGUUUUUAUGCUGCUUUGUUGAAUUUGGCUUUCAUUGAAUAUUUGAGCUAAAACGUCCUGCAGUUUGAGAAGCUGCUGAAAAUGCUAAAUGGCAUGAGCCAUCAAAAAAACAACCUUAUUCAAUCUUCAAUCCAGACUGCAUAACAUAAAAACAAAACAAUCAUCCAGAAAAAUAAAUACUUCUCUCAGGAUGUCUAAAUGUCAGUUUAGUCCGAGCUUCACUGCAGAGUGAGCUUAACAAACCCCACGGACACAAAACCUACAUUAAGCCCAAUUCUGCUGCAGUGCAAACUCAUUCAGGAGCUGCAUACGUUACACAGCGGGACGUCGGCCUAAAUUUGUUAUUCAGAAUAAAAACAACUUGUAAUGCAUGCUCUAAUAUACUAAUGUGCUGCAUGAAGGGAGACCAUUUUACUUCAGCUGUGAGCACAGAAAGCACGGCCGGCUUUACUGAGACCAAUAAAUUGUUCCCUGUGGACACGAAGACAUUCAAAACACGGCUGUAUUCAAAACACAUACAGUAUUUUAACAUACGAGACGAAGCUCUACGGACAGAGGGUGCCGUAUGCUGUACAGACUAUAAAGCCCCAGAAGGCAAACUUAUAUUUGGUUAUACUGGGCUGUAGAAAUAAAACACAGACUUGGCAUACUGACUCAUAUUUUGUUAUGUUUAAAGUUGCUGUUCUUACUCUUGUAAAAGAGAGUGAAUAAAUUGAGGCAUAUUUUGGCUCAUUUAUCAGGGCUCUGAUCCACAGGACCCAGAGCCCUUCUGGUUUUUAAUGCAGCCCUUUAAUCAUCAGCAAUCACUGAUCCGUUUUAAUCCUAGGAAACAAGCUAGGUUUCAAUUCACUUCCUGGCAGGACAGAGAAUCAGCAGGGCUGCAGGAGAAGCAGUUGCAGAAUCUUAAACAGAGCAGAUUUAAAGCACUUUAAUAUGGAAAGAAAAAAGCUUUUUUGAGUUUACCUGCCGCCCUCGAGGCCAGUUCGUUGCUGGGACAGGUGACCCGGAUGUCGGACACCAUGGUGGUGUAGGCCCUCUCUGGACAGCGGUCUGCGGUGGGGCAGGGGGCGGAGGUCGGAUACAGGUUCAACGCCUCUUUGGGGAGAUCCUCUCUGAAGGUCCGAAGUUUUUCUGUGUGGAGCGGAGAGGUGACGGGACGAGACACUGAAGAUAUUUACAGAGGCUACACGCAGCAGGCAGCUGUUACCUGUUACAAACCACUGGUAGUCGCUCCACGUCCACAUGGAGAUGUUUUCAGCCGGGGGGCUGCAGAGGAAACACAGAGGGCUGAGUACAGUUUGAUCACAGUAACACUCGACAGCGAUGAACCCGAACCAGAUGAGCGCUCACCUGUAGUCCGCCUCCUGCUCUGUCGUCCCGAUGAGGAAAGGAACGUCGCUGUGGUCGCCUUUCUUCUCCCACACCUCAAAAGGUGGAGCUUCGAGGACGUAUCCGUCCACCACUGCCACCGGGCCGAUGAAGCGCCCUUUAACGGGGAGAUCUGUUAGAUCGUCCGCUGCCCAGGAGGGGUACUCCUGCCACGGGAUGUUCUGGGAAGGAAAAAGGAGUUUGUGCAGUUUGACUUUUGGAUUAAAAGGUUCAGAGAGAAGAAAAUAGAGCUGGAAUAAACUGACGUUUAUGCCUGUGAAAUUCAGACUUAUACUAUUAGCCUAGUGUUUUGCAUUUUACAUUCAAGUUCUACAAGUUCUUGUUUCAAGUCGUUUUAUUUUUUGCUUUUAUGGUUUUGUCGUAAUCUGAAUAAUUCUACACUUGUGAUGUUUAUAAAAACAAUAGUUACUAGAACAGUAGUAACUAUGAUUAUGAUAUAAUGAAUAUUAAAAUAUUACUGCCACUAAUAAAUACUACAAUACAAUAUAAGAUUUAUGUAUUUUGCCAUAUGGCUGUACUGUCUGGGUAUAAAUGUAUGUGUACAUAUUUUCUAUUCUGCAACACUUCUCUGGCGCAAUAAAAGAAAUUUAAAA
Molecule: long non-coding RNA, 2578 nt
Organism: Micropterus dolomieu (smallmouth bass)
Lineage: Eukaryota; Metazoa; Chordata; Actinopteri; Centrarchiformes; Centrarchidae
Exons: 3
Source: RefSeq, a predicted model, not a curated record